This 88-nucleotide transfer RNA is filed under the name Azonexus sp. RNAcentral's name for it is "tRNA-Ser". It matches the Rfam family "tRNA". From Rfam's summary of the family: Transfer RNA (tRNA) molecules are approximately 80 nucleotides in length. Their secondary structure includes four short double-helical elements and three loops (D, anti-codon, and T loops). Lineage: Bacteria; Pseudomonadati; Pseudomonadota; Betaproteobacteria; Rhodocyclales; Azonexaceae. The record is from RNAcentral. RNAcentral also lists the same sequence under 4 other names.
GGGGGUUUGGCAGAGUGGUCGAUUGCACCGGUCUUGAAAACCGGCAUGCCGAAAGGCAUCCAGGGUUCGAAUCCCUGAGCCCCCGCCA